UUAGCCAUGCAAGUCUCAGUACAUGCCGCACUAAGGUGAAACCGCAAAAGGCUCAUUAAAUCAGUUAUGGUUCCUUGGAUCUUAAACAGUUACUUGGAUAACUGUGGUAAUUCUAGAGCUAAUACAUGCAAACAAGUCCCGACCAGAGAUGGGAGGGACGCUUUUAUUAGAUCAAAACCGAUCGGCGUCCGGCUCCGGCCGGCGCCGUCUCUUUUGGUGACUCUGGAUAACUUUUAGCCGAUCGCACGGUCACAGUACCGGCGACGCAUCUUUCAAAUGUCUGACUUAUCAACUGUCGAUGGUAGGCUCUGCGCCUACCAUGGUUGUAACGGGUAACGGGGAAUCAGGGUUCGAUUCCGGAGAGGGAGCCUGAGAAACGGCUACCACAUCCAAGGAAGGCAGCAGGCGCGCAAAUUACCCACUCCCGGCACGGGGAGGUAGUGACGAAAAAUAACGAUACGGGACUCAUCCGAGGCCCCGUAAUCGGAAUGAGUACACUUUAAAUACUUUAACGAGUACCAAUUGGAGGGCAAGUCUGGUGCCAGCAGCCGCGGUAAUUCCAGCUCCAAUAGCGUAUAUUAAAGUUGUUGCGGUUAAAAAGCUCGUAGUUGGAUCUGUGUGCCACGCUGUCGGUUCACCGCCCGUCGGUGUCAACUGGCAUGUCUGUGGGACGUCCUGCCGGUGGCGGUACGGGCUGCCGGCGCUGCGUAGGGGCACAACCCCGAAGCACGCCGGCGUGUCCCGGUCCGCCGAUCCAAUCCCGCCGCGGUGCUCUUCACUGAGUGUCGAGGUGGGCCGGCACGUUUACUUUGAACAAAUUAGAGUGCUCAAAUCAGGUCGUAUUUAGGCCUGAAUACUGUGU
RNAcentral lists this ribosomal RNA (862 nucleotides) under Platypleura hilpa. RNAcentral describes it as "SSU rRNA". It matches the Rfam family "Eukaryotic small subunit ribosomal RNA", at positions 45 to 807 of the family's 1831-position model. The record is from RNAcentral. Lineage: Eukaryota; Metazoa; Arthropoda; Insecta; Hemiptera; Cicadidae.